CUGACACGAUGUUAGGCCUGUGAACCCGCUGAAUUUAAGCAUAUUAGUAGGCGGCGGAAGAUAACCCAAAAGGGAUUCCUUCAGUAAUGGCGAAUGAACGGGGAAAAGCUCAGCAAAGAAAUCAGGGACCCCGGCCUUGAGUUGUGGACUUGAGAGGUAUUGCCAAUGGUGGCGCAGGUGCGGGCCUCUUGGAAAAGGGCACCACAGAGGGUGUGAGUCCUGUUUGUCAUCUGUAGUCCGCCAUGUACGGCAUGAUUCCUCAGAGUCACGUUCCUUGGAAUUGGAGCGCGAAGGUGGUGGUGGCUUUCAUCUCAAGCUAAGUAUGGGUUCGAGACCGAUAGCAAACAAGUACCAUGAGGGAAGAUUGAAAAGAGCUUUGGAAAGAGAGUUAAAAGUGCCCGAACUUGCUGAUAGGGAAGCGAAGGGAGCUGACGUUGCUUGGUGACAUAUUCCGCGCAAGAGUAGGAUGGGUUCUGAUUGCAAUCUGCGUAGUGCUUCUUGCCGUGCGUGUCGAUGCCAAGCAAUGAGUGGGGAGAGCACCAGGGAUAAUGAUUGUUUCUGUCCCCGGGUGGACGAAGGUGCCUGGUCGCAUCCAUUUGUGGGCUGAAACAAAUGGUGGCUGGUUGCAGCGCCCUGUGCCUGCUAGGCAGUUGGGGUGCAGCCCUGAUACGCAGACGAGGACAAAGUGCUUCUGUUCGACCCGUCUUA
This 708-nucleotide ribosomal RNA is filed under the name Prorocentrum hoffmannianum. Its description in RNAcentral is "eukaryotic LSU rRNA". It matches the Rfam family "Eukaryotic large subunit ribosomal RNA", at positions 1 to 656 of the family's 3401-position model. The record is from RNAcentral. Lineage: Eukaryota; Dinophyceae; Prorocentrales; Prorocentraceae.